UACGAAGGUCCCGAGCGUUGUUCGGAAUCACUGGGCGUAAAGGGAGCGUAGGCUGCGCGGUAAGUCAGGUGUGAAAUCCCGGGGCUCAACCCCGGAACUGCACCCGAUACUGCCGUGCUUGAGGGUUGGAGAGGUAGCUGGAAUUCUCGGUGUAGCAGUGAAAUGCGUGGAUAUCGAGAGGAACACUCGUGGCGAAGGCGAGCUACUGGACAACAUCUGACGCUGAGGCUCGAAGGCCAGGGGAGCAAAAGGG
Molecule: ribosomal RNA, 253 nt
Filed under: uncultured bacterium
Lineage: Bacteria
Description: partial 16S ribosomal RNA
Rfam family: Bacterial small subunit ribosomal RNA
Source: RNAcentral